RNAcentral lists this unclassified non-coding RNA (1088 nucleotides) under Leishmania donovani. RNAcentral's name for it is "gene:unknown". The record is from RNAcentral. Lineage: Eukaryota; Euglenozoa; Kinetoplastea; Trypanosomatida; Trypanosomatidae.
CCUUACGUCGCGGGAACAGACUCUCGCGCACACGCCCACCAUCACUAACUCAGUUCCGUGCGCCGACGCCGCCGCCGCCGCCGCCGCCGACGACGACGACUCUCUCUUUCUUUCUUGAUAGCUCUGUCUCUUUUCGUUCUCUCUUUCACCUUUACGUGCGUCGCAGCUGCCCUCAUCCGCGUCGGCAGCUGCGACUCUUCAUACUGCAGAUAUCUAUCUAUAGAUAGAUAUCUUGCCUUUGAGCCCUGGCCUCAUUGCUUCGCUCCUGCAUCCUGCAGGCGCGCGUGUGUGUACUUGACUCCGUAUGCUGGCGUGCAGGCUGCAUCGACAGAAACACAAGCGAAAGAGGAAGACGAGAAGCACGAGAAGGGGGCCUUUGCUGGUGCUUCGAGGGACAUCCACCAGCGCCAACCCCCUCCCCCGAAACCCCCGCUCCUCCCUUCUCUUUUUCCGUCAAUUCAGCCUUGGCACUCACUCAAAGUCAAACCCGCCUUCACGUUAGCAGAAGGUUUGACGGGAGUGGAGGGCUGCGUCAGCACCAGAGACCUAUUACAAGUGACAUCAAGCAACAGCGGAAGAAGAAGAAAACGAAAGCCAGACCACCUCAUUUUUGUACGCACAGCCCCACGUGGCGUGCGUUUCAUCCAUCCUUUCCACAGGAUACACUCGCUCCCCCCAUACAACCACACAGAAAAAGAGACAGACGUGCAAAUAUACAAAGAACAUCAUCCCCCGUCCCCUCCCCCCCCCCCCCCCCCCCCCCCCCCCCCCCCCCAAAAAAAAAAAAAGAAAGGCGUGACUUCGCUCGCAUCUCUGAUUUCGUACGCCACUCCCUACUUUGCUCUCAUCUUCUUGAAUCCCCACCUCGGCGGUCCACUUGGAGAGUUGCUCGCCCUUAUCUCCCCUCUCCCAGCGUGGGUGGUGCGUUUCUGUGCCUGUCUGCGCCGCUGUCUCUCGGCCCCUUCGCAUUUCGAUCUGAGCGCUCUCUUGCCUGGCUCUCUCUCUUUUUUCUUGUUUCGUGGUUGGCUUGCCUCCCCCCUCUUCCUGCUCUUCCCUCCCUCGCUCACUACACUUUCCCUUCCCUCAAG